GAUGAACGCUGGCGGCGUGCCUAAUACAUGCGAGUCGAGCGAACAGACGAGGAGCUUGCUCCUCUGACGUUAGCGGCGGACGGGUGAGUAACACGUGGAUAACCUACCUAUAAGACUGGGAUAACUUCGGGAAACCGGAGCUAAUACCGGAUAAUAUAUUGAACCGCAUGGUUCAAAAGUGAAAGACGGUUUUGCUGUCACUUAUAGAUGGAUCCGCGCCGCAUUAGCUAGUUGGUAAGGUAACGGCUUACCAAGGCAACGAUGCGUAGCCGACCUGAGAGGGUGAUCGGCCACACUGGAACUGAGACACGGUCCAGACUCCUACGGGAGGCAGCAGUAGGGAAUCUUCCGCAAUGGGCGAAAGCCUGACGGAGCAACGCCGCGUGAGUGAUGAAGGUCUUCGGAUCGUAAAACUCUGUUAUUAGGGAAGAACAAAUGUGUAAGUAACUAUGCACGUCUUGACGGUACCUAAUCAGAAAGCCACGGCUAACUACGUG
Molecule: ribosomal RNA, 497 nt
Filed under: uncultured bacterium
Lineage: Bacteria
Description: partial 16S ribosomal RNA
Rfam family: Bacterial small subunit ribosomal RNA
Source: RNAcentral